This 481-nucleotide ribosomal RNA is filed under the name uncultured bacterium. RNAcentral describes it as "bacterial SSU rRNA". It matches the Rfam family "Bacterial small subunit ribosomal RNA", at positions 501 to 985 of the family's 1533-position model. The record is from RNAcentral.
CUACGUGCCAGCAGCCGCGGUAAUACGGAAGGUCCAGGCGUUAUCCGGAUUUAUUGGGUUUAAAGGGAGUGUAGGCGGUUUGUUAAGCGUGUUGUGAAAUUUAGAUGCUCAACAUUUAACUUGCAGCGCGAACUGGCGAACUUGAGUGCACACAACGUAUGCGGAAUUCAUGGUGUAGCGGUGAAAUGCUUAGAUAUCAUGAAGAACUCCGAUUGCGAAGGCAGCAUACGGGAGUGUAACUGACGCUUAAGCUCGAAGGUGCGGGUAUCGAACAGGAUUAGAUACCCUGGUAGUCCGCACAGUAAACGAUGGAUGCCCGCUGUUAGCGCCUGGCGUUAGCGGCUAAGCGAAAGCAUUAAGCAUCCCACCUGGGGAGUACGCCGGCAACGGUGAAACUCAAAGGAAUUGACGGGGGCCCGCACAAGCGGUGGAGCAUGUGGUUUAAUUCGAUGCAACGCGAAGAACCUUACCUACUCUUGAC